This 343-nucleotide unclassified non-coding RNA is filed under the name soil metagenome. Its description in RNAcentral is "partial contains 5.8S ribosomal RNA, internal transcribed spacer 2, and large subunit ribosomal RNA". The stretch from base 1 to 120 matches the Rfam family "5.8S ribosomal RNA", at positions 35 to 154 of the family's 154-position model. The record is from RNAcentral.
GAUGAAGAACGCAGCGAAAUGCGAUAAGUAAUGUGAAUUGCAGAAUUCAGUGAAUCAUCGAAUCUUUGAACGCACAUUGCGCCCGCCAGUAUUCUGGCGGGCAUGCCUGUUCGAGCGUCAUUUCAACCCUCAAGCCCCCGGGCUUGGUGUUGGGGAUCGGCGUGCCCUCGCGGCGCGCCGUCCCCUAAAUCUAGUGGCGGUCUCGCUGUAGCUUCCUCUGCGUAGUAGCAACACUCGCACUGGAUCGCAGCGCGGCCACGCCGUUAAACCCCCCACUUCUGAAAGUUUGACCUCGGAUCAGGUAGGAAUACCCGCUGAACUUAAGCAUAUCAUAAGCGGAGGA